UGCUUGUCUCGGCCAAAUCGCACCCUCUUCAUCUCUAAGAAACAUGACAGAGCCCGGUUGACUUUCACUUUGAACACCUCAGCACUAAAAGAGCUUGCAUGGAGAGAACCAGCCAAUAUGCAGUUUUCACUAUGGACCUAGUUUGCUAUCAUCAUCAUCAUCAUCAUUUUCCCAGCAGAUCACAUAGGAUGCAAAGAGACGCUACUUCAGCAGGAAGCAAUCACCCACCAAGAACUCAGCUGAUAUGCCUCAAUCCUUUUCUCCUUUCGCUGACCGUACCCCUGCUACUUUUGAACUCUUCACUGUUUCUCAAUCUGAUGAUGGGCCAAAUCAACAGGAAAGUGAAGAAA
Non-coding RNA from Podarcis muralis (Common wall lizard), 350 nucleotides. NCBI's taxonomy places the organism in Eukaryota, Metazoa, Chordata, Lepidosauria, Squamata, Lacertidae. The record is from RefSeq and is a predicted model, not a curated record.